RNAcentral lists this ribosomal RNA (1675 nucleotides) under metagenome. RNAcentral's name for it is "bacterial LSU rRNA". It matches the Rfam family "Bacterial large subunit ribosomal RNA", at positions 1165 to 2925 of the family's 2925-position model. The record is from RNAcentral.
GGAGAAUUUAACGGGGCUAAACCUGACACCGAAGCUUAGGCAACAUGUUUACAUGUUGGGUAGGGGAGCGUUGUAUACGCGGUGAAACAGUAGCGCAAGCGGCUGUGGAGUGUAUAGAAGUGAGAAUGCCGGAAUGAGUAGCGCGAAUGCAGUGCGAAUCUGCAUGGCCGAAAGCCUCAGGUUUCUGGAGGAAGGUUCGUCCGCUCCAGGUUAGUCGGGAGCUAAGGUGAGGCCUAACGGCGUAGCCGAUGCACAGACGGUAGAGAUUCCGUCACCACCAAAAGAGUUAAACACAGGGACACAUAUGAAGUCUCGGAGCCGGGUGUUGGUUCCGGUAGCGAUCGAGGGAAGUUAGUACCGAAGUCUGAGAUGGAAGAUGGCGAGAAAAGCUGUGUGUAUUUCUGCGGUGCCCGUACCGCAAACCGACACAGGUAGGUAGGAAGAAGAUUCUAAGGCCAACGGGAGAAGGGUUGUUAAGGAACUCGGCAAAUUGACCCCGUAACUUCGGGAGAAGGGGUGCUGCAGCGAUGCAGCCGCAGAGAAUCGGCCCAAGCAACUGUUUACCAAAAACACAGGUUUGUGCUAAAUCGAAAGAUGACGUAUACGAGCUGACGCCUGCCCGGUGCUGGAAGGUUAAGAGGAGAUGUGCAAGCAUUGAAUCGAAGCCCCAGUGAACGGCGGCCGUAACUAUAACGGUCCUAAGGUAGCGAAAUUCCUUGUCAGGUAAGUUCUGACCCGCAUGAAAGGCGUAAUGAUUUGGGCACUGUCUCAACAGCCCGCCCGGCGAAAUUGUAGUACCGGUGAAGAUGCCGGUUACCCGCGACAAGACGGAAAGACCCCAUGGAGCUUUACUGUAGCCUAAUAUUGGGUUUCGAUGUUGCAUGCACAGGAUAGAUGGGACUCUUGGAAACGAUUGCUUUGGCGGUCGCGGAGAGGCCGUUGGGAUACCAUCCUUGCGAUAUUGGAAUUCUAACCUGCGCCUUUGAAUCAAGGCGGGGGACAUUGUUAGGUGGGCAGUUUGACUGGGGCGGUCGCCUCCUAAAGAGUAACGGAGGCGUUCAAAGGUUCGCUCAGCUUGAACGGAAAUCAAGCAAAAGAGUGCAAACGCAGAAGCGAGCCUAACUGCGAGACUGACGGGUCGAGCAGUAACGAAAGUUGGAGUUAGUGAUCCGGUGGUAUGUGAGUGGAAAUGCCAUCGUUCAACGGAUAAAAGUUACCCUGGGGAUAACAGGCUGAUCUCCCCCAAGAGUCCACAUCGACGGGGAGGUUUGGCACCUCGAUGUCGGCUCAUCGCAUCCUGGGGCUGUAUUCGGUCCCAAGGGUUUGGCUGUUCGCCAAUUAAAGCGGUACGCGAGCUGGGUUCAGAACGUCGUGAGACAGUUCGGUCCCUAUCUGUCGUGGGCGCAGGAUAUUUGAUGGGAGCUGUUCCUAGUACGAGAGGACCGGAGCGGACGUACCUCUGGCGCACCAGUUGUUCUGCCAAGGGCAUAGCUGGGCAACUAUGUACGGAUCGGAUAAACGCUGAAAGCAUCUAAGCGUGAAGCCGACCCAAAGAUAAGAUAUCCCAUUGUUUCAAACAAGUAAGACCCCUUGAAGACUACAAGGUUGAUAGGCAUGAUGUGUAAGUGGAGUGAUCCAUUCAGCAAGCAUGUACUAAUAGGUCGAGGGCUUGAUC